AUUCUUCCAUAGUAGGUACCCACUACUAUGGGAUAUACAGAUUUUCAAAUACCGAACCGGUAUAAAUACUAAUAAGAUCUUCAGAGACAACAUCAGUGAUCUACAGUUGUUACAACGAUACACAUCGAGUCUUUAUUUCACUUUUUGAGUUACCUCAAAUUCACAUCCAAAAACCAUCAUGUAUAAGUUUUUGUUAUUGGUUGUUGCCGCUUUGGCUUUGGUGGCUGUUGCUUCUUCUCAAAUUGUUUACUACACACCACAUACUUACGCACCGGUGUACACCUACCCAUCGUACGCCUACACUUACCCAGUGUCUUACAAUCCAUACAUCACUCUCCUUCGUCGAUGAAUAAAUAUUCUACUAAAUCCAAGACCAUCGGGAGUUAUUCUGCAGUUAUUCAACGCCGAUCUUACGAAAAUAUAUUGACAACGGAAAUGUAUUUAUUUUAGUACAUAAUUUAUUGUUUGCUAUUAUUUCACAGUAAAUUCUUAUAUAUCUUCAUUCUUCUUGUAAACAUGUAUUUUAUCACAAUGUCACAUUUUUAAAUUAUUUGUUGAAGAACCGUUUAAUGUAAUAUACAUAAUAAUUUAUUGAAAUA
Molecule: long non-coding RNA, 599 nt
Organism: Myzus persicae (green peach aphid)
Lineage: Eukaryota; Metazoa; Arthropoda; Insecta; Hemiptera; Aphididae
Exons: 4
Source: RefSeq, a predicted model, not a curated record